UUUAAUUUUACCAGUGGGAGAGAGACCGGUAGUGAAAUAGAAGUUGUUUACUGAGUAUUUUGGGUUGAAGGGAUACUGGUUCUUGAUGACCAUCUGGAUGAUUUAGGAUGAAUUUUAAAAUCUGCUGCGUAAGAAAUUAAGGCAGUGCUCAUUAGGAAGAUCCUAGGCCUGUCCUGAGGAUGAUUGCAUAGUCGUCUGUUCAGUGCCACCUGCCAGGCUGGGAAGGCACAUGUGUUUCUGUGGAUGUAUCUGUGGGGAGGAGACAGGUCUCCUGGGGGACCACAAGACCUAUGCCUACCCCUAGGAGGUAUAUGGGACUGGACAGAGGUGGGGAGAAAGCAGAACUGAGAUCCUGCAGGAUGUGCCAGAGGAGGACCAGGUGAGUGCAGACCCCACUCACUGGGCAUGUGUUUAGUGCAUGUGAGGUGCCAGGCAUCAUGCAGGCGGGGAGUUUUGUGGUGGGACAGGCUCAGAACCCUCCUCUGCUAGAGCUUAUGGCUUCAGAAGACGAUAGGCAUUAAACAUGCACAUCUGCUGAUGGGGACGCAGGUUGAAAGGGAUGCAUGGGAUCUAUCACAUUGCACGGUAGUAGGAAUCACAUUUAGAAGGUCAUAGAUGUACCUUUCAUAUGGUGACAGGGUGUGCAGAUUGUGACUAAAAUCCAGAUAUGCUGCUUGAGACCAGGCUCAGCGUAAAUAUUGGUUGCUUUUAAAGGGGUUUCUUGAUGUGAAAGGAAACAAGUAGGCUAGCAGAUGAAGAGUGUGGGCUCUGGCGUGGUAGGACUGGAUUUGGUGCUUGGUUUAGGGCUAUGUGACUUUCUCUGUGGAAAAUGGAAUAGUAAUUAUGCUGGCAAGGAUAAUGCUUAGUGUAGUGCUGGGCUUAUAAGAGAGUCUCAGUAAUAUUACCUUCUAGGUGUGAUUGUUAUUACAUCACUGCUAUUUUCUUAUCUUUAUUGUCAUGUCAAGGAAAAUCAUUUUUGGUAAUACGUCAAAGGCAACUUGUAGUUCUGGAAAUUUUCUAGGAUCUGGAUUUCUUAGAAAGUUAAAAAGUCAUUAUUCCUGGAACAAACAUUAUGCAGAUUUGGGAUUUCAAGUUCACUGGUCCUAAACAUAUUAUCAUUUGUUUUUUUAUUUAUUUAUUUUGUAUAUCAAAAGUGAAUUCUAGUAAUUUCACUCCUAGGGAUGUGCCCCAAAGAAUUGAAAACAGGUGUUCCAACAAGUAUACAAAUGUUCAUAGUAGCCCUAUUUACACAGUAGCCAAAAGGUAGAAGCACCCCAAGUGUCUAUCAGUGGAUAAGUGGAUAACAAAAUGUGGCCUGUACAUACCGUGGACUUUUAUUCAGCCAUGGAAGGAAAUGAAAUUCUGAUAUAUGCUGCAACUUGUGUGAAUCUCAAAAACAUUAUGCUCAAAGAAAGCCAGCCUCAAAAGGUCACAUACUGUAUGAUUCCAUUGGUAUGAAAUUCCCAGAAUAGGUAAAUCCAUGGAAACAGAAAGCAGAUUGGUGGUUGCCAUGGGCUGAGAGGAGGCGGCAAAUGGAGUAGAAUCGCUUCACGGGGGUAGGGCUUUAUUUUGGGGUGAUACAAAUGUUCUGGAACUAGAUGGAGGUGGUGGCUGCACAAUAUUGUGAAUGUAGUAAAUGCCACUGAAUUGUUCACUUUAAAAUGGUUAAUUUCAUGUUAUAUGAAGUUUGCAUCAAUAAAAAAGUUAGUUCUAAGCACCAUUUAUACUGUAAUAUUUGUAAAUUACCAUAAUAGCGCCUUUAUAUGACUUAGACCUUUACAAAUAAUGUAAAAUUGUCCCCUUAGACCAUCUCACUUAGAACAGCUUCCAUCAUUAAAAA
This is a long non-coding RNA of Sapajus apella (tufted capuchin), 1840 nucleotides long. RefSeq lists it as uncharacterized. The record is from RefSeq and is a predicted model, not a curated record. The transcript is spliced from 2 exons. NCBI's taxonomy places the organism in Eukaryota, Metazoa, Chordata, Mammalia, Primates, Cebidae.